UGGUUCAGUUGGUAGAGCAUGGCACUUGCAACGCCAGGGUCGUGAGAUCGAUUCCCAC
This 58-nucleotide transfer RNA is filed under the name Salmo salar (Atlantic salmon). It matches the Rfam family "tRNA", at positions 8 to 63 of the family's 71-position model. From Rfam's summary of the family: Transfer RNA (tRNA) molecules are approximately 80 nucleotides in length. Their secondary structure includes four short double-helical elements and three loops (D, anti-codon, and T loops). Further hydrogen bonds mediate the characteristic L-shaped molecular structure. tRNAs have two regions of fundamental functional importance: the anti-codon, which is responsible for specific mRNA codon recognition, and the 3' end, to which the tRNAs corresponding amino acid is attached (by aminoacyl-tRNA synthetases). tRNAs cope with the degeneracy of the genetic code in two manners: having more than one tRNA (with a specific anti-codon) for a particular amino acid; and 'wobble' base-pairing, i.e. permitting non-standard base-pairing at the 3rd anti-codon position. The record is from Rfam by way of RNAcentral. Lineage: Eukaryota; Metazoa; Chordata; Actinopteri; Salmoniformes; Salmonidae.